AGAUUGAACGCUAGCGGCAUGCCUAACACAUGCAAGUCGAACGGUAACAGGCCCUUCGGGGUGCUGACGAGUGGCGGACGGGUGAGUAAGGCAUCGGAAUCUGCCCUGAUGUGGGGGAUAACGUAGGGAAACUUACGCUAAUACCGCAUACGACCGAGAGGUGAAAGCGGGGGACCGAAAGGCCUCGCGCAGCAGGAUGAGCCGAUGUCCGAUUAGCUAGUUGGUGGGGUAACGGCCUACCAAGGCGACGAUCGGUAGCUGGUCUGAGAGGAUGAUCAGCCACACUGGGACUGAGACACGGCCCAGACUCCUACGGGAGGCAGC
RNAcentral lists this ribosomal RNA (324 nucleotides) under uncultured prokaryote. RNAcentral's name for it is "bacterial SSU rRNA". It matches the Rfam family "Bacterial small subunit ribosomal RNA", at positions 26 to 352 of the family's 1533-position model. The record is from RNAcentral.